RNAcentral lists this long non-coding RNA (1077 nucleotides) under Oryctolagus cuniculus (rabbit). Its description in RNAcentral is "lncRNA (ENSOCUG00000031204.1)". The record is from RNAcentral. Lineage: Eukaryota; Metazoa; Chordata; Mammalia; Lagomorpha; Leporidae.
CUACCAUUUCCUCUCCACUUUGGGUCAUCUUUUCAACUGGAUCAGGAAACAUGGGAUUCUUGUGAUGAUUCAAUAUUUCCAAACUCCAUGAGGUUACCCCAGACAGGUGGGGUUGGUCCUCAUUACCUUCCCAAGGCCCAACAAGCGUCCAUGACACUUGUUCCCCAUGUAAGUGAUCUAUAGAUGUAUUGCUGUGCGUGGCAAUACAUUUUUUAAAGAUUUAUUUACUACUUGAAAGGCAGAGUUAUAGACAAAGAGGGAAAUCAGUGAGAAAUCUUCCAUCCACUGGCAGAGUCCCCAUAGAACCUCAAUGAGCAGGUUGGACCAGGCCAAAUCAGGAGUCCAAAACUCCAUCAGAGUCUCCCAAACAGCUGGCAGGGCGCAAGCACGAGACAUCUUACACUGCUUUCUGAGGCACAUUAGCAGGGAACUGGAUCAGAAGUGGAGGAGCAGGGACACCAACCAGGGAUCCCAUUAGGGGUCCCCACAGGUGGCGCUUGAACCUGCUGCACCACAAUGCCAGCCUCAGGUGGCAGUAUAUCUUUAUCUUGGCCUCCAGAGCUCCCAUAUUAGACAAUAAUAUGAUUGGUAGAAGAUGACAAGGACAAAGGAAAUGGACAAGAGUUAUGAGACAAAACAGAGGAAGGGAAACAGGAAGGCUGGAAAACAAUGAGUUGCACACAUCGACCCAGUGGCUACCUAUGGAGGAACAAGGUGACACUUCUUAGGCACAGUGAUGGGAAUCUGAGGCAGGAAGAAGAAGGCAAAGUUCAGAGAUCCUCUCACUUAUACAGAGGCUAUGUGGCUGCAUCCGAACAUUCCCUCGGGAGCAGCGAUCUGGGAACAUCUUCAGCUGCUCGGAAGUCUGCAGUGUGGAGUCCUUGGACCCAGAGGAGCUGGAGCUUCCCACACCAUCGGAAGCUUGAACCACACAGGAGGAGACACAACAGCAGCCACGGCCCUCCUCACCAGUCCUCUGCGAGCUCUGAUAUUAAAUCAUCACCGAGCACCAGUUGGUUUCAUAUGGUUUUGUCUAAUAAAGCACAGUGUAGGAAAACAAGCUUAGAAAAGGUAUAA